This is a long non-coding RNA of Trachemys scripta elegans, 3417 nucleotides long. RefSeq lists it as uncharacterized. The transcript is spliced from 3 exons. The record is from RefSeq and is a predicted model, not a curated record. NCBI's taxonomy places the organism in Eukaryota, Metazoa, Chordata, Testudines, Emydidae.
GGGAAGAGCUGGAAGGGGAGUGAGGUUAUGUGCAGUAGGUGUCAGGAGCAGAGCUUACACUUCAGAAAACAAGGCACAAGAUGCAGUUUCUGAAGGAGCAGAGCCUAAAAGCCAGUGCUUCAUAACCUUUGGCAGCAGCAUCACAGCAUGCCUACACCGUGGUGUUUAGAGGAGUGUCUGACACUGAUCAGGUGUGGGCCUUUCAUCAUGGUGGCUUUGUCUGAGGAGGACCAGAUUACGUUAUAGGAAUCUUGGUUGGAGAAACAAUGAUUCAUAUUUAGAUCAUCCAUCCACCAUCUGAUAUGGGUUGUCAUCCAAAGAGCCUUUGUUACAGAAUGUGCCCCGUAAAUUUCAGCGUUGGUGUCCUUCCGCCUUCAGUAAAACAAAUAGGCCAUCCAAAGAAGAACAAACAAAACAGGUGACUAAUGUUUUUAUUAUUUUUUUUAGCAUGAUUAAGAAGCAGACAAAUCCCCAAACUGAAAUCAAUUUGUACAUUAAUCUGGGAGGUUUGGCAGGAUUAACUUUCACAUUUGAUUACAAAAAUGUAAACUUGUUUUAGAUACUUAAAAUUCAUUCAUUAAUGUUUGUCAGGCACUCGGAUACCAGAGCAAUGAGGUUCCACAGAAAUGCCUAUGAAUAAAUCAAAUCAUUAGAGUGGCUGCAGCCAGUUGGUUGGUGGCCAUUUUAAAAUUGUCCUUAGUCCCACCUGCUGCCUCCAGCCCUUCCUUUAGUUCUCUCUGGCUAACUUGUCGGAACCCAGAGGUGCCUUCCCUCCCACUCCUCCCCACUGCAGCUUCUUCCUGCUCUCUCCCAAUGCUCUGAGACCACUUCCCUCCCAAUUCCCGUCACAGCCCCUUGGCCUCUCUCAUCACGAACUAAGUCAGGGCACACUUUGUAAAAACAUGAUUUGGUUUCAUUAUACCAGUUGACCUAGCCCUGUUUAUACUAACUUAGCCUGCACUGGUUUAAAAUGGUAUUUGAACUGGGUACAGCAAAGAUGAUUUGGGCCACAGUAUGAAAAAAACUUUAUGUGCAGUUCAGGACUCCACUGUGCUAGGUGCUGUACAAAUACAGAACAAAAAGAUCGUGUCUGCCCCCAAAAGUUUAUAAAUUAAGUAAAAAUAUAAUUCAGAACUCUUGUGUCUUCUGAAGUAUGGAGAGUCGCUGUUGUCCAUAAAAGCCAAAAAAGUGUCCUACUUAAUUCAAUGGCGUCUUAUAAUUUGCACUAAUCCUCAUUCACACCCAUUAAAACUCCUACAUCAUCCCUCCCUACAUAUAAAUGGAUAUAGAUAUGACAUAAAAAUAUAGCAAUCCACCUCUGGUACACUUUUGUAUAAUAGACUUACAUGGACAAUACCACUGAACGCUCUACUGCAUUGUAUAUUAUUUUUGUGUGAUAUUUUCCAUAUAAAAGUGUCCUGGCCUGUUAGUAAGAAUUCUUAAACAGAACAUAGGGAUUUUCAUACAGAAGGCUACUUAGAUACAGAAUUUCCUUCAUAAGCAUAGAAAUAACUUUGCAGAGAGGAAUAAAACUGCAUGCAGAAGUUUCUGCAAGCUAGGCUCUGAUCGUUGGACUCUUUUGGCUCUGAUAUAUUUUGCCCCAUUAUCAAAUAUUUGCUACGAACCAUAUAAACAGCCAACUGUAAAUUGCUUCUAGAGGAAGGAUGCCCAUCUGAUCACAAUGAUAGAUUUAAAAAAGAUGCAGAUGCAGGAAAUUUUUCAUGAAACGACGCAUACAAGAAAUACGAAAGACUUCUUAUCACUAGAUAACAGCUAAAAUUACUUCUGAAGUUUUUUUUACUAAAGGUUCAACUUUUUAAGGAGUUACCACUGAAUAUCCAGCCAAUUAUGUUUCCAGAUAAACAUUAGCCAAUGAACUAAUGAGGGGGUGGAAUAAUUGCUCAAUGAGAUUUGCAUUGUUAGACUCUUCGCAACCUUUUAGGGACAUCGUUGUUAUUAUUACUAUGACAACACUGACCACAGGUUUGAUUUUAACCCCCACAAAUGAUUAGAAGAAAUUAAACAGUUUAAAAUGAAGUCAUCACUUUUCUGCUUGUGUGAUGUCACCCUCCCAACCAGGGAUGGUAACCCACAAUCCACCCUGCACAACUCCAUAUCUGCAUCACUCUGCUGAUUAUACAUCCAUCCAUCUGUGUGUGCUGCAAGGUGGCACUUGAUUCGUCCCUUAGCACUAGACAUUUGGAAAUGGUUGCACCCCGGCUCAUGGUUUUUCAUCUCCAGAAAGAGCCCCCCUUUAAGUGCUUCCAAAUCUUUCAAGGCUUUGUGGGUUUUUUUUUUUUUUGGUCCUGAAGACCACCCAGUGGGUCUAUAGGACACGCACUUGAAAGGCCACUUCUGUUUUGGUGGCAACUCCUAUGCAAUUGCAAAGUGCCCAUUAAAGCACAGGUUGUUUCCUAGAAGCAUGCCCAAGCCAGUAGCAUGCAAAGCCCUUCAGGGGUUCUAGAAAACAUUCCCUUUUGAAAUGCUGCAGGAAACGCCGAGAUGAAAGGAUAAGUCUCCUGGCUGUGCAGUUACAGUCUAUUGUCUUCCAUGAAGGAUAGUUAUCACUCCUCAGUUGUGUUAUUGCAGUUAAUCCACUUAAAGGCUAUUGGAUUUGCAGAUGAGCUGAAUUCUUUGCUCCUGCUAUUAAGAUGCUUUGUGGAAACGAGAAAGGGCUGUUAUUUCAAUCACAAUGAGUUCAGGGAGAUGUCAGGGUGCAGCCGACACCUUGUGCCGUUUGCAGCGGGGAAAGGGGGGUAUUUUCUUUGCCCCCCUUCCCCCCCAGGAGGAGGCUAGAAACGCCUUUGACUUGAGCACUCCGAGAAAGCGCCCAAAUCCCAGGCCAAUUAUUAAUUGUUAACGAGUUCGCUCAAUCCGGAGCGUAAUUUGAACACUUGCACAAGGCGAUCGGUUGUGUAAACUGUGGCCAAGGAACCCUGCCCUGCAGCUCCAUGGCAUAAAACGCGGAAAGGAGGGGCUGAAUCAAUAGGGUACAGGUUUAAUAUGUAACAGAGUCAGCCCUUGAAUAAGGGGCAGGGCACAAAACUGCUGCUGCGCGUUGACUUUGAACCUUUCCACUGGAGAGAGCUGCUCAAAGUCAAGCCACCCUGCGCGCUCCGCCAGGGCCUGACCCCCGACCAGACAGACACACACCCACGGCGCAACAAGCGGCGGCUCCAGCCCGUGGCAGUCUCCCGGCUACUGCACGGGGGCCCCAGCUUCCUAUCCACCGCCUGCCUUUUGCAGGGGGGAUUUGGGAGUGAGGCGGGCAGAGGGUUGGUGUGUGUGUGAGGGGGGGAGAACAUGUGCCCACCCCAGUGAUCGUCCUCACCCUCCCCACGCGAUCACGAGCGCCUGGACUGCAGCAGACCUGGAAGAGCGCGCGGCUCCUGGGGAGGGAACCUUGCACUUCAUACG